Molecule: small nuclear RNA, 63 nt
Organism: Callithrix jacchus (white-tufted-ear marmoset)
Lineage: Eukaryota; Metazoa; Chordata; Mammalia; Primates; Cebidae
Gene: U7
Rfam family: U7 small nuclear RNA
About the family: Animal histone pre-mRNAs are spliced by a different mechanism than nuclear pre-mRNAs and self-splicing introns. This processing involves the U7 snRNP, which contains only one RNA species: U7. The 5' end of U7 RNA is thought to base-pair to a conserved spacer element downstream of the cleavage site in histone pre-mRNA.
Source: Ensembl
AAGUGUUACAGCUCUUUUAGAAUUUGUCUAGCAGGCUUUCCAGGGUUUUGCUGGAAAGCCUCU